Molecule: ribosomal RNA, 579 nt
Filed under: Triticum aestivum (bread wheat)
Lineage: Eukaryota; Viridiplantae; Streptophyta; Magnoliopsida; Poales; Poaceae
Description: partial small subunit ribosomal RNA
Source: RNAcentral
AUGAGUGUGUUUAAGUUGCCAGCCUCGGUUUGUGAUGAGCUCACCCGUAUGAUGCGUCAAUACUGGUGGGGAGUGGAGAAUGGGAAGAAGAAAAUGGCAUGGACAAGUUGGGACAAAAUGAUACUCCCCAAAGCUAUGGGGGGCAUGGGCUUCUGGGAUAUGAGAGCGUUCAACCAAGCGCUGCUGGCCAAGCAAGCGUGGAGGCUCCUUGACUCUCCUGACAGCCUAGUUGCGAGACUAAUGAAGGCAAAAUAUUAUCCUCAAGGUCAGUUAUUGGAUACAAUAUUUUCAGUCUCUGGAUCAGCUGCGUGGAAAGGCAUUCUGCAUGGUUUGGAGUUGCUCAAAAAAGGCGUCAUAUGGCGGGUGGGGGACGGGGAGCAUAUUCGGACGUGGCGAGACCCUUGGAUCCCACGGCCUUCUUCCUUCCGGCCGAUCACCCCAAAAGGCUCCUGCCGUCUCAAUCGUGUUUCUGCAUUUCUAGAUGCUAAUGGGGCAUGGAGGGCUGAACGCCUCCGUGAAUUUUUUUGGGAGAUGGAUGUUCAACAUAUCCUCAAGAUCCGUACCUCCCCAAGACAGUGA